RNAcentral lists this ribosomal RNA (465 nucleotides) under uncultured bacterium. Its description in RNAcentral is "partial 16S ribosomal RNA". It matches the Rfam family "Bacterial small subunit ribosomal RNA", at positions 28 to 507 of the family's 1533-position model. The record is from RNAcentral.
GACGAACGCUGGCGGCGUGCUUAACACAUGCAAGUCGUACGGUAAGGCCCUUUCGGGGGUACACGAGUGGCGAACGGGUGAGUAACACGUGAGUAACCUGCCCACAACUUUGGGAUAACGCUAGGAAACUGGUGCUAAUACUGGAGAUGUGCUCCUGCUGCAUGGUGGGGGUUGGAAAGCUCCGGCGGUUGUGGAUGGACUCGCGGCCCAUCAGCUUGGUGGUGGGGUAGUGGCCUACCAAGGCGGGGACGGGUAGCCGGCCUGGGAGGGUGACCGGGCACAUUGGGACUGAGACACGGCCCAGACUCCGACGGGAGGCAGCAGUGGGGAAUAUUGCACAAUGGGCGCAAGCCUGAUGCAGCAACGCCGCGUGCGGGAGGACGGCCUUCGGGUUGUAAACCGCUUUCAGCAGGGACGAAGCUUUUUGUGACGGUACCUGCAGAAGAAGCACCGGCUAACUACGUG